GGAAAUAAGGGCAUUGAGGAGGGCACUAACUUCAGCUCCGGUUUUGUUCAUAACUUCUCAGGCAUCUCUAUGGCUGUGAGAUUGGGUUCAGUAACACUGGCGGAAGGCAAAAAUAUGACUGUCACAUGGAGGUAAACUUUGUUUCUUUCUUCUGUAUAAAUUGUGUCUGGUUUGGAAUCCAGAAAGUGAGGUGAGCCCUCAGGCCAGGUUCAUGAUUUACACACCACAGAUGUACAGCAAAUUGUUUACCUACAACUUUGUGGCCCAGGAGUGAGCUUUUCCUUGUACAGCAGAUUAAUAAAAUGAGCUGAGUUGUGUUUGUGGA
Oryza brachyantha (malo sina) is the source of this 325-nucleotide long non-coding RNA. RefSeq lists it as uncharacterized. The transcript has 2 exons. NCBI's taxonomy places the organism in Eukaryota, Viridiplantae, Streptophyta, Magnoliopsida, Poales, Poaceae. The record is from RefSeq and is a predicted model, not a curated record.